RNAcentral lists this long non-coding RNA (3035 nucleotides) under Xyrichtys novacula (pearly razorfish). Lineage: Eukaryota; Metazoa; Chordata; Actinopteri; Labriformes; Labridae. The record is from RNAcentral.
GCUGCUCGCCGGGAACCCUCUCAUGAUGUGCAGAUGGAAGAUGGGAGAUAAGAAAGCAAAUGCAGAGCAGAGAGGUAUGAACACAUACUGUCUGCCCACACACACACACACACACGCACACAUGCACCAUGCCAGUGCCAGGGCUCCUUUCUCUUUCAUGUGUUAUCAGGCAAAGAUUUGGUUGUUUGUUAAUUUCCCCUGUCACCAUCUCAGCAGAGCAUACUGAAUAGUCAUUUCCACGCCAAGCCAGGAAUGUAGCCAUGUCACCGGGGAGUUUCCCCAUGCUUUACUGAUAAGCUCAAUGAAGCUUGCCUUGUCUUGCAUUUGGAAAACAUCUGUUGAAUUCUUUGGCCAUAAUGCAACCUGCGUAUGCUUCAGUCAGUAUGCAGCAGAUACCUGCACACAUGUCAGCACAGAAGUACAAAGGCUGGACGUGAACAUAAGGGCAUCUGAUGCAAUGCAUUAUGCAAUUUAAUAACAGCCCCCAGCUACAAUAAACACAGUAUGUCUCUGCAGGUAUUUCAGUAAGCACGAGAAGGGGAAAUUAAAAUGAUUUCAGGAGCAGGUACGUUAUAAUACCGGCCUUUAGAGACUAUUAGGAUAAAUCUAUUCCUUUCUGUUUGAAUAAAACUCUGCUUUCAUUACUUUGCACCAGGGUGUGCAGAGACCAUUUUUAGGGCCUAAGCACACAAAGCAGUGCAAGAGAUCUAAGAGCAAGAGAACCCUCAGGAUUAUGUUUUCUGUUUUACUUUCAUAUUUGGAGGAGUUAUCAUGCCUCAAAACUCAUCAAAAUUCACACACACACCUCAGUCCUGACUUUUUAUGAAUUUUGCAAAUUUACCGGUUUAUAGUGCCUUGUAUAUCCUCUUAUGAGUCCAACCCACACAACUUGGGGGAUUGACAGGCUGCACAUUUACCGAACUCUGCCUUUUAUCUGAGACACAAUUAAGGAUUUCGAGUUUCUGUUAAAGGUGUGGCUGUUGUCGCUUAUCAUGAAACAGGAAGUCAUUGUUGCUCAGUCAUGUGACCUAUAAUCUCUUCAAAAUUUCAUAUCCGUGUUCCCUGAAUACAUUGAUAUAGUUAGUUUUCAACUACGGUUGCAGCGCCAUCAUAUGACAAUAUAGUACUUUCUUUAACACACAUGGCCUGAUCUGCUAAGGGUUUGCAUGUUCAAAAACAGCACACGCAAUGAAUUUAGCAUGUUUGCCUUCAUGAAUAUGCAGAAUGUAUGCAGAUUACCAGAACGCAGAAAAUACUGAAAUGCAAAUUUCUUAUAUUUUUUGUAUUUCUUAUAUUUAAUUUUAUAUUACAAAUAAAAAUAUAUAUUAAAAUAUAAAAUAAAUAUAAAAAUAAAAUAUUAACAUAUAUAUAUUUCCCCUCCUUGAGCCACCACCUUACCGCGGUGAAGGGGUUUGUGUGUCCCAGUGACCCCAGGAGCUAAGUUGUCGGAGGCUUUAUGUCCCUGGUAGGGUCACCCAUGGCAAACAGGUCCUGAGAGAGGGAUCAGACCAAGAGUGGCUCAAAUAAACUUUUUAUGAUGUAUCCAAUAUUGUGUACUGAUUUUUUACUUGUUCAGAUGUGGGUAACAAUACAAAAACAAUUGUGAAAUCAAAUAUAUUUCAUGGAUCAGAAGCAUUUCUGAAAAAAUAAAAUAAAAAUUUUUUUGGGCUACCUUAAUUUUACUCUUAAAAAUCCUGAGGUACUUUCAGAUUCACCAAACCAUUAGGGCUUUUGAUAGUGCUAAAUAUUUCAUUUAUUAAUACAAAGUGGUCAUACACACUUUAGGAUUAGGUUAAAAAUACAACAAGGAGGAGAAGACCUGCCUUUACUCUCACUCAAUGGCACAAACACUGAGUCCAAAUACUGGGAUUGCUCAAAUUUAUGUGACAUUAAGUUAAAUAAUAUACAGUCCACUAGGCCUGUCGUGAUAAUCAAUAAAUCGCCUUAUCGCUCGAUAAAUAAAAACGAGGUCGAUAACUUUGCCAGCCUCGAUAAUUGACGUGCGUUUGUUUUCCUCCUCUCUCGCUACCAAACACGCUGGAUGAGAGAAGAGGUCUCACUCUGCGCAUUGUUCUCGGCACCUGGGGGCGUUGGCUCUUUAGCGGAAUGAACGGAGUUAGUGAACCCUCCUGUCAGUCAUUCAGUGUCUUUGUCACGAGGGGGCUGGCGCGCACAGGCACGCAGACACAGACUUUUUGGAUACAGUGCUGCAAGUGAGCGUCGUGAGUGAAAAGCAAGCUAACAGAAUGAACACGACAGCUUUGGUGUCUAAACCGAACGCAACAGCCCAAGUGUGGGAAUAUUUCGGCUUUAAACCAGUUUUGUUUUCGUCAACCACAAAACUCCACGUGUGUGUGUGUGUGUGCACGCGCGCGCGCGCGUGUGUCUGUGUGUUGGAGGAGCACAGCAGGCUGAUGAGAGCUGUCAGAGCGGACUGAAGCUGCUCUUAUAUGUUUAGCGUUUAACUGACUGAGUUUUGCAACUCUGUUCGUCAUUUUCGUCUCGUCCCAUCAACGUAAACGCACUUUCGUCUCGACACAUUUUAGUCAUCUCCGACUUAUGUUUAGCUCGUCAACGUUACGUCUUCGUCGUGGGAGAAAAGGGAAAUAUUUUAGUCAACGAAAACAACCAGUGUUGUUCUCGUGUGGAAAUUAAAGUUUAUCACUUUUGACAUGGUGUACUCGCAUUAUUAUGCCAUAUAAUAUCAUUAUCUAUAAUUUAAAAAAUGGUGUCAAUAAUAUCGUUUAUCGGCGAUAAUUUGUAGCACAAUUAUCGUCCAGCAAAAUUUGUUAUCGUGACAGGCCUACAGUCCACCUUCAAAUAGAAAACGUAUUUUGCUUGUUCAUAAUGUAAAACAGUGUCUUUAUAUUUAAACGACUGUAAUUUUGUUCCAGGCUCAUGCUGAUUCUUGGAAAACCUUUAACGGCUGCAGGGAGAUGACCUCAGCCGGGUGAAGCCUCCUGGGUUUUGUCACAGCUGACUGAAAGGAAAAGUCUAUUGUAUUUAUAAAGUGAAGCAUGCAGGCCAGUGAUGAG